Pongo pygmaeus (Bornean orangutan) is the source of this 2058-nucleotide long non-coding RNA. RefSeq lists it as uncharacterized. The transcript has 7 exons. Lineage: Eukaryota; Metazoa; Chordata; Mammalia; Primates; Hominidae. The record is from RefSeq and is a predicted model, not a curated record.
AUUCUCCUGCGUCAGCCUCUCAAGCUGCUGGGAUUACAGGCGCUUUCCACCAUGCCAGGCUAAUUUUUUUUUUUUUUUUUGGAGACAGAAUCUGGCUCUCUCGCCCAGGCUGGAGUGCAGUGGCACGGUCUCGGCUCAUUACAAGCUCCACCUUCUGGGUUCACGCCAUUCUCCUGCCACAGCCACCCGAGUAGCUGGGACUACAGGCACCCGCCACCAUGCCCGGCUAAUUUUUUUGUAGUUUUGAGAGGCGACAUUCGUGCUGGCUCGCUCUCCGCGCCUCCUCGGCCUUAGUGCCCACUCUGGCCGCGCUUGAGGAGCCCUUCAGCCCACCGCUGCACUGAGGGAGCCCCUCUCUGCUGGCUAAGGCCAGAGCCGGCUCCCUCUGCUUGCAGGGAGGUGUGGAGGGAGAGACGCCGGCUGGAACUGGGGCUGCCCGCGGUGCUCGCGGGCCAGAGCGAGUUCCCGGUUGGUGCGGGCUUGGCAGGCCCUGCACUGAGAGCGGCGCGCCGGGCAGUGAGGGGCUUAGUACCCGGACCAGCAGCUACGGAGGGUGCGCUGGGUCCCCCAGCACUGCCGGCCUGCCCGCGCCCCACUUGAAUUCUCGCAGGGCCUCAGCAGCCUCCCAACAGUGCAGGGCUUGGGACCUGCAGCCCGCCAUGCCCGAGCCCCGCACCCCCGCCGUGAGCUGCUGCGUGGCCGCCCCCUGCUCCGCGGCGCCUGGUCCCCUCGGCCGCCAAGGGCUGAGUGCCAGCUAACAGCGCGGGACUGGCGGGCAGCUCCCACAGGCGGCCCUAGCGGGGGAUCCACUAGGUGAAGCCCGCUGCGCUUCUGAGUUGAGUGGGGACUUGGAGAACUUUUAUGUCUAGCUGGAGGAUUGUAAAUGCACCAAUCAGCACCCUGUGUCUAGCUAAAGGGUCUCACUCUGUUGGCCAGGCUGGAGUGCAGUAGUACAGUCUUGGCUCACUGCAACCUCUGUCUCCCGGGUUCAAGUGAUUCUCCUGCCUCAGCCUCCCAAGUUGUUGGAAUUACAGGUGUUUCUUUGCCUUUCAGAAAUAUAAGGGUUUGAAUUAGAAUAUUUUAUGCCACCUGUGUUGCUGGAACCUAAAUCAUAUUUGUAGGGAAGAAGGAUGAAGAGGGAGAUAUUUAUGCCACGUGAAGACCAUGAUUGCUUCCCCUUCACCCUUCUACCUUUGUAAGUUUCCUGAGGCCUCCCCAGAAGCAGAAGCCUGCAUAGUCUGCAGAACUUUCACUAUAUAGAAUAAACAGUUAAUUGUACUUUCAGUGAAAACUUCAAGUAGAAGUAAGAUUCUUGGGCUUGGAAAGAGCAUUAAAGAUCCUCAGGUCCAGCUAUGAACCCAGUAUAGGAAAGCCAUCUACUUCAACUUUCCUGAGUGACAGGAAGGCAAACGCAAGUAGAAGAAGGAAGUUGGAGGAAGAAGGAGUAGGAAGAGGAAUAAGAAGAGGAGGAGGAGGAAGAGGAAAAAGAAGAACAAGAAGAAGGAGAAGGAGAAGAAGAAAGAAGAAAGAGAAGGAGCAGCAGUGGCGGUGGCAGCCACAGGAGCAGAAGGAACAGAAGAUGACUACAAUGCUGAUGAAGAGACAAUGAAACAUAGCUACUUACUCUUGUCACGCUGAAUUAUAUGAUUAUUGCUGAUGAUCAAAAUUAUGAAAAUCAUGUGAAGGCAUAAAAUAAUGCAUGCAUGACUUAGAAUUUAACUUUCUAUAAAUUUAAAAUUGGUUGUUUAUUGCUUUGUUCAAAAAAUUGGAGCUGACUCUUCCUCCUCAAAACGGAGUGAAUUACAAGUAAAAUUGAAAGUACAAUUAAACCUUUUUAAUGAUGACCCUCCAAACCAGGAAAAACCCUAAACAAAGUGUAUUUAGAUUAUAUUUUUGAUGAUAUAUGUUAAAUGCCUUUGCUAUUAUUUGCACAAAAUUCCAAUUUCUAAAAUGGACACUUAUUCUGUUAUUAAAAUUGUCCAAAAGCUAAACACACAAUUAAGAAGGCCUAUACUAUUUAACAGUUCCCAAAGCAAAUACAGUUAGGUUUAUAUAUUA